This is a ribosomal RNA of 649 nucleotides. The stretch from base 47 to 201 matches the Rfam family "5.8S ribosomal RNA".
CUGAUUAUACUGUGAGAACGAAAGUUCUUGCUUUUAACUAGAUAACAACUUUCAGCAGUGGAUGUCUAGGCUCGCACAUCGAUGAAGAACGCUGCGAACUGCGAUACGUAAUGCGAAUUGCAGAAUUCAGUGAGUCAUCGAAAUUUUGAACGCAUAUUGCACUUCCGGGUUAUGCCUGGAAGUAUGUCUGUAUCAGUGUCCGUAAAUCAACCUUGCCUUUCUUCCUUCUGUGUAGUCAGUGGAGGAUGUGGCAGACGUGAAGUGUCUCGCUGUGGCUGGUUUUUGGUCGUUUCGGCUAUGAAUACAGUUUGCGAGUCCUUUUAAAUGGACACGACUUUCUCUUUUUUGUUUCUGCGAGGUGCUGUGCUCGAACGCGGUGGUUUUCGGAUCGCUCGCGGCUGUUGGCGACUUCGGUGAAUGCAUUAUGGAGUGGACCUCGAUUCGCGGUAUGUUGGGCUUCGGCUGGACAAUGUUGCUUAUUGUGUGUUUGUUCCGCGUUCGCCUUGAGGUGUACUUUCUGCUGUGUGCUUGAACUGGGAUCUGCUUUGUUAGUAGUGCGCGGUGAUCGUUAUUCGCGGGGACAUCUGUUGUUGCGCACGCUGUUAGUGUGUGCUUGAGCAGAAGAGAGGUUUGAAUUUGGGAAAGUAGU